UACAGAGGGUGCAAGCGUUAAUCGGAAUGACUGGGCGUAAAGGGCGUGUAGGCGGUUAAAUAAGUUAGUUGUGAAAUACCAGAGCUUAACUUUGGAAUGGCAACUAAAACUAUUUGGCUAGAAUGCAGCAGAGGUAAGGAGAAUUUCCGGUGUAGCGGUGAAAUGCGUAGAUAUCGGAAGGAAUACCAAUGGCGAAGGCAACUUACUGGGCUGUUAUUGACGCUGAGGCGCGAAAGCGUGGGGAG
This 245-nucleotide ribosomal RNA is filed under the name uncultured bacterium. RNAcentral's name for it is "partial 16S ribosomal RNA". It matches the Rfam family "Bacterial small subunit ribosomal RNA", at positions 524 to 768 of the family's 1533-position model. The record is from RNAcentral.